Molecule: ribosomal RNA, 253 nt
Filed under: uncultured bacterium
Lineage: Bacteria
Description: partial 16S ribosomal RNA
Rfam family: Bacterial small subunit ribosomal RNA
Source: RNAcentral
UACAGAGGUCUCAAGCGUUGUUCGGAUUCAUUGGGCGUAAAGGGUGUGUAGGUGGCGCGCUAAGUCGGGUGUGAAAUUUCGGAGCUUAACUCCGAAACUGCAUUCGAUACUGGCGUGCUUGAGGACUGGAGAGGAGACUGGAAUUCAUGGUGUAGCAGUGAAAUGCGUAGAGAUCAUGAGGAAGACCAGUGGCGAAGGCGGGUCUCUGGACAGUUCCUGACACUGAGGAGCGAAAGCGUGGGGAGCGAUCCGG